GGUAAGAGUGGCCGAGUAGGCAGCGAGCUGUAAAUUCGUUCACAGGGGGCCGGCCCCCUC
RNAcentral lists this transfer RNA (60 nucleotides) under Sphaerodactylus torrei. RNAcentral's name for it is "tRNA-Tyr". Lineage: Eukaryota; Metazoa; Chordata; Lepidosauria; Squamata; Sphaerodactylidae. The record is from RNAcentral.